GCUUGUCUCAAAGAUUAAGCCAUGCAUGUCUAAGUAUAAACUAUUUUAUACUGUGAAACUGCGAAUGGCUCAUUAAAUCAGUUAUAGUUUAUUUGAUGGUACCUUACUACUCGGAUAACCGUAGUAAUUCUAGAGCUAAUACAUGCGUAAAAUCCCGACUCUCGCGGGGAGGGAUGUAUUUAUUAGAUUAAAAGCCAAUGCGGGCUUCUGCCCGGUAUUGUGGUGAGUCAUAGUAACUUUUCGAAUCGCAUGGCUUCACGCCGGCGAUAGUUCAUUCAAAUUUCUGCCCUAUCAGCUUUCGACGGUAGUGUAGUGGACUACCGUGGCAUUUACGGGUGACGGAGAAUUAGGGUUCGAUUCCGGAGAGGGAGCCUGAGAAACGGCUACCACAUCCAAGGAAGGCAGCAGG
This 409-nucleotide ribosomal RNA is filed under the name uncultured Protaspa. Its description in RNAcentral is "partial small subunit ribosomal RNA". It matches the Rfam family "Eukaryotic small subunit ribosomal RNA", at positions 30 to 432 of the family's 1831-position model. The record is from RNAcentral. Lineage: Eukaryota; Cercozoa; Thecofilosea; Cryomonadida.